CCUCCACCAAAGCCAGUUGCAAAUUGUCCAUGCUUACCACAACAUUCCUUCAUAUAGCUCUUGCAACAACCCCCAUUUUCUCUCUUCUCCAGGCUCAUACAAGCAUGAAUGGUUGUUGCUUCACUGCAGUUCAUGCCCUGCUGAAUAUCAAUGCUAGUGUGGCUGUUGCAACAAUUCUUGUCAACAUGAUCGAAAUGGUGAGGCCUGUGAUUGAAACCUGAUUCAAUAGCGUUUUCUGAAGAAACAUCACAGAGGUUGGAGUGGCAAUGACCAUUUUUGGUCAUCUUUUGGACACCUAUGUCAGAAGAAUGGUUUGAAUGGUUAGAGGUACAAUGAUGAGUGAUUUGAUCACAAUGCCUAUGCUGAGAAUGUUCUUCCUUAUGCAGUCCAUCUCCUUCAAUGAAUUUUCCUUGCAUUUCUGCUGAACUUGUGCAUUUAUUUGUCGUGCCCAAGCUCAAAUUAUGAGAGCCUGAACAAGCAUGUUUGUGUGGAUUGUUAGCC
RNAcentral lists this unclassified non-coding RNA (501 nucleotides) under Hevea brasiliensis (rubber tree). Lineage: Eukaryota; Viridiplantae; Streptophyta; Magnoliopsida; Malpighiales; Euphorbiaceae. The record is from RNAcentral.